GGUUUUUUAAUCUGAAUUACAUCCGUUAAUACGACUGUCCGUAUCACGAAAAAUGUUUAAAACAACAUUAUUAUUUCAAAUCCGUCCUUGAACCGUUGGACUCCUCGUCUGUGUCUGUCUCUCUCUCUCUCUCUCUCUCUCUCAAAGUGGGUGGGAAAAUGGAUGGCUCUGGUGACUCAAAGCCGGCGCCAGAGGUGAUAGAGCUGCAGCCAAUCGAAGCCACUCCGGCGAGCUUCGAAGAGUACGGCCAAGUCAUCGAGGCUUCGUCCGACGGCGACGAGUUCGGACCCCAAGAUGCUCAACUAGACCUCAGUCACGGCGUUCCCAGGUUUUACAUUAUGCAACUCAAAAACCGACGACUUAAGUUCUCUACAAUCACGCAUCACGCAAGUGUGACCCAAUGCCUUGGUUCGGUCGGUGGUCAUGUUUGGUAUCUUGGAAUUGCUAAGCCGUCCAUCGUGGACGGCAUUGAAAAAGACAAGGAUGACACGGGCAGGAACAUUCUGCAAUCUCCUUGUGGUCAUUUCUAUGUGCCUCCUGCUGUCGAGGAUGUCCGCGUUUUCAGGGUUGCGGGUACCAAAUUUCUUAAGCUGAACCGAGGGACAUGGCAUGCUGGGCCACUGUUUAAGGAUCAUACAAUGGCCUUUUACAAUUUAGAGUUGAGCAACACCAAUGUUGCAAACAAGCUAGAGUGAAUUACUGGCAAGUAUUGAAGCCAUGGUUGGUAUGCUAAAUCUAAUGGAGUUGGUCUUUAUUAGCUCAAGUUCAGAAGAAUUAGGAUCCUAUUGAAGAAAGGCAAGAGUGUGUAGAUUCACUUAUAUAGCCUUAAAAGGGAAAUGAUCAAUACAAAAAAGGCAAAAACCUAGACCAGGAGCUGAUUAUUAUGGUUGGACUAGCUAUAGUUUUGCUUCAUUGCAAUGCCAUGAACUAAGGGAACAGAAGAUUCUGGCUGGCUUGACCCCUUUUUCUAUGUAUCUUAAUGUAUAGUCCGUCUGGUAACAUUGUAUGCCUCUCAGUAUUACAGUUACUUUGCUCUAUUUUGUGAGGUGGUUGAUCACACGACACACAGCUUCAUCCGCGAAAACGGAGUGAUCUUUUCCAUCAAUGACUAGUUAACUUUCAACUGCUCUGUUGUCAGCAUAUGUUACUGCUAUUCCAGAUGGUAUGUAUUACGAUAUAAUCACACAAUAAAAUGCCAAAGGAAUAAUCUAGAUAUCUCACACAAAUGCACUCAUCUUGCUUUCUCUUUAAUGCCUAGUGUAUACAAUCGUGCUUUAUUUUCCCUAUGGACUCUAGAUGGAUAGAUACCCUUCUGAAUUUUUCAACCUUAAUGAAGUUCGUGCAAUAGCCUAA
Juglans regia (Persian walnut) is the source of this 1353-nucleotide RNA transcript. RefSeq lists it as uncharacterized. The record is from RefSeq and is a predicted model, not a curated record. Lineage: Eukaryota; Viridiplantae; Streptophyta; Magnoliopsida; Fagales; Juglandaceae. The transcript has 4 exons.